GGGCCAACCCUGAGGGUCAGAUGAGGCCCUUGGGGCACAGCAGUGCCAUCUCCCCUGUGCUCCCAGGGCCUCUCCUGUCCCUCGAGGUCGGCCC
MicroRNA precursor from Chlorocebus sabaeus (green monkey), 94 nucleotides. NCBI's taxonomy places the organism in Eukaryota, Metazoa, Chordata, Mammalia, Primates, Cercopithecidae. The record is from Ensembl.